CUCCUCUCUUACAGGCCCCCUGCAGCCCUGGGCACCGCUGACUUGCUCCCCUGGCACUUAUUCUGAAUACUCUUAAGUAUUUCAUUGCCUCCAUGGUUGCCCAUGAGGAACAAUUUUACCCCCCAGUGGACAUGUGAUGCUGUGCCAAAGGAAGUGUACACGGACCACGCCUGUGGACCGCACCUGCGGACCACACCCGCGGACCACACCCGCAGACCACACCCGCUGACUCUGCACUGUGCCCCCUUCCCCACCACGCCCAAAGACGUAAGCAUUGAUAUGGAUCAUUUUCAUGAAGAAACAUUCAGAAACAUGGAAGCUUUAAAAGUCAACAAGCCUGGAAUUACCUGGUCGUUUUCAAGGAGAACCCUCAAAUCAGAUGCGUAUAGACCAGGGGUGGGCAAACUUUUUGACUCGAGGGCCACAAUGGGUUCUUAAACUGGACCGGAGGGCCAGAACAAAAGCAUGGAUGGAGUGUUUGUGUGAACUAAUAUAAAUUCAAAGUAAACAUCAUUACAUAAAAGGGUAUGGUCUUUUUUUUCCAAUAGUUUUAUUCAUUUCAAACAGGCCGGAUCCGGCCCGCGGGCCGUAGUUUGCCCACGGCUGAUAUAGACCCUCUCCAUCUGGCACCAUUUUUAACAGUUGUGCACUAUUCUUGUUCUAAACAUGUUAACCUUUAGAAAAUACUAGUGUGAAAUAAGCAUCAGUGAUUACUAUUUCUUACAUAUAAACAUCCACUAAGUAGGGUGGAAAAGGCAGAAGCACCUUAGUUCAUAUAUCUUCAUAAAUAAUUCAUAUAUUGUCUUACAAUAUUUACUUUGUUUUCACAAAAACCCUGGAAGGUUGGAAGAUGAGGCUCAGGGAGGUUGUGACUAUCUUUAGGUCACAUAGCUCAUUAGUGGGAGAGUUGGGACUGGAAUCCAGCCAGGUUUCCCAAUACCCAGAUCAGACAGGGAAAUAAUGGGGGAAAACAUGCAAAUGAGUCCUCUUAAAGAAACAAGACCCUUCAAAGGAUUACAGGACAAGAGAGUAUGCAAACACAUGUUAUAUUUUAUGAUGCUGAUUUUAAGUAAAACUGUAAUUCACAAAAGAGGAAUGCGUUGGAUUACUUGGGAAAGAUGUCAUGGAGAUGAGACAUGGUGUGGGCCUUGAGACUGAGUAGGAUUGAGAAAGGGAGAGAGAUUAACUGAUCAGUGGCUAUAAGACUACAGGCAACAGGGCUGUGUUUGUGAACAGCUCACCAAAAGCACCUAGGGAGAGAGACAUGUUUGUAUUAGAUUUUUUUGAGCUUCCACAGUAUCCAUAUCCUAGGCUCCUGAGGGUGCUCUGCAGUUCCCCGGAUUAAGCCCCUUUCUGAAUUUUUUUUUUUACUGAUAACAUUUUAAUAACUCUGGGUGCAUAAUAUAACUGGUACAUCUAAAAACAACAAACCAACAAAUUAUCAUAAUUUCAGGUUAUACACACUUUAAGUUAAUGAACUAGAUUUAUAAAAGCUACAAAAUAUUUUCAAAGGUAUGGGAAGAUGUGGUCAUGAGACUUCAUUGUAAGAAUGGGUAUAGGAUAUGUAAGAUAUUUUUCAAACCUACAAAGGACAUUUCAAAAUUUACAAUGUUAAUAAAGUUCUUGCUUAGAAAAUCAACAUUUUUAUCUUCAUUCAUCAGAAGAUUUAAUUAGAGCAGCUUUCUUCUUAUACUUUUCUCCAAUCUCUCUAAUAUUUUCCAAGAGAUCUUCAGACACUUCCUCUUCAUACUCUCUGUCAACUUUAGCAAUCUGCUCCUCAAGGUAUCUCUCCACAGAGCCUACAUGUGUGGCAACCAUCACUAAAAGACACUCUAAGUUAUUUCCCACUUUUGUCUUUCUUCAGUUGUGGUUUGUACAACUAGCUGGUAUUCCCAUUGAAUAGAAUAUAAUUCAUUCAUAGUUUCACGGAGGCCCUCAUUAACAGCACUCUCCAGCAUGUGCUUGUGUUUCUCCAAGGACUCCAACUCAUUGACACAUUUGUUGCCCCCUUCCCCGGCUUCCUAUACUUUUUAAAAAAAUAUAUAUUUUAUUGAUUUUUUACAGAGAGGAAGG
Long non-coding RNA from Myotis myotis, 2073 nucleotides. RefSeq lists it as uncharacterized. The record is from RefSeq and is a predicted model, not a curated record. NCBI's taxonomy places the organism in Eukaryota, Metazoa, Chordata, Mammalia, Chiroptera, Vespertilionidae. The transcript is spliced from 3 exons.